Molecule: ribosomal RNA, 932 nt
Filed under: Lactiplantibacillus plantarum
Lineage: Bacteria; Bacillati; Bacillota; Bacilli; Lactobacillales; Lactobacillaceae
Description: bacterial SSU rRNA
Rfam family: Bacterial small subunit ribosomal RNA
Source: RNAcentral
CGAACUGGUGAGUAACACGUGGGAAACCUGCCCAGAAGCGGGGGAUAACACCUGGAAACAGAUGCUAAUACCGCAUAACAACUUGGACCGCAUGGUCCGAGUUUGAAAGAUGGCUUCGGCUAUCACUUUUGGAUGGUCCCGCGGCGUAUUAGCUAGAUGGUGGGGUAACGGCUCACCAUGGCAAUGAUACGUAGCCGACCUGAGAGGGUAAUCGGCCACAUUGGGACUGAGACACGGCCCAAACUCCUACGGGAGGCAGCAGUAGGGAAUCUUCCACAAUGGACGAAAGUCUGAUGGAGCAACGCCGCGUGAGUGAAGAAGGGUUUCGGCUCGUAAAACUCUGUUGUUAAAGAAGAACAUAUCUGAGAGUAACUGUUCAGGUAUUGACGGUAUUUAACCAGAAAGCCACGGCUAACUACGUGCCAGCAGCCGCGGUAAUACGUAGGUGGCAAGCGUUGUCCGGAUUUAUUGGGCGUAAAGCGAGCGCAGGCGGUUUUUUAAGUCUGAUGUGAAAGCCUUCGGCUCAACCGAAGAAGUGCAUCGGAAACUGGGAAACUUGAGUGCAGAAGAGGACAGUGGAACUCCAUGUGUAGCGGUGAAAUGCGUAGAUAUAUGGAAGAACACCAGUGGCGAAGGCGGCUGUCUGGUCUGUAACUGACGCUGAGGCUCGAAAGUAUGGGUAGCAAACAGGAUUAGAUACCCUGGUAGUCCAUACCGUAAACGAUGAAUGCUAAGUGUUGGAGGGUUUCCGCCCUUCAGUGCUGCAGCUAACGCAUUAAGCAUUCCGCCUGGGGAGUACGGCCGCAAGGCUGAAACUCGAAGGAAUUGACGGGGGCCCGCACAAGCGGUGGAGCAUGUGGUUAAUUCUAAGCUACGCGAAGAACCUUACAAGUCUUGACUACUAUGCAAAUCUAAGAGAUUACACGAUCCUU